RNAcentral lists this ribosomal RNA (497 nucleotides) under uncultured bacterium. RNAcentral's name for it is "partial 16S ribosomal RNA". It matches the Rfam family "Bacterial small subunit ribosomal RNA", at positions 28 to 507 of the family's 1533-position model. The record is from RNAcentral.
GAUGAACGCUGGCGGCGUGCCUAAUACAUGCAAGUCGAGCGAACAGACGAGGAGCUUUCUCCUCUGACGUUAGCGGCUGACGGGUGAGUAACACGUGGAUAACCUACCUAUAAUACUGGGAUAACUUCGGGAAACCGGAGCUAAUACCGGAUAAUAUAUUGAACCGCAUGGUUCAAUAGUGAAAGACGGUUUUGCUGUCACUUAUAGAUGGAUCCGCGCCGCAUUAGCUAGUUGGUAAGGUAACGGCUUACCAAGGCAACGAUGCGUAGCCGACCUGAGAGGGUGAUCGGCCACACUGGAACUGAGACACGGUCCAGACUCCUACGGGAGGCAGCAGUAGGGAAUCUUCCGCAAUGGGCGAAAGCCUGACGGAGCAACGCCGCGUGAGUGAUGAAGGUCUUCGGAUCGUAAAACUCUGUUAUUAGGGAAGAACAAAUGUGUAAGUAACUAUGCACGUCUUGACGGUACCUAAUCAGAAAGCCACGGCUAACUACGUG